CCUACGGGUGGCAGCAGUCGGGAAUAUUGCGCAAUGGAGGCAACUCUGACGCAGUGACGCCGCGUGCAGGAAGAAGGUUUUCGGAUUGUAAACUGCUUUAGACAGGGAAGAAAAAAGACAGUACCGUACGAAUAAGCAUCGGCUAACUCCGCGGCAGCAGCCGCGGUAAAACGGGGGAUGCAAGCGUUAUACGGACUUAUUGGGUUUAAAGGGUGCGUAGGCUGUGAGGUAAGUCAGCGGUGAAAUGCCCCCGCUCAACGGGGUGAAGUGCCAUUGAUACUGCCUUGCUGGAAUGCGGAUGCCGUGGGAAGAAUGUGUGGUGUAGCGGUGAAAUGCAUAGAUAUCACACAGAACACCGGUUGCGAAGGCAUCUCACGGAACCGCGAUUGACGCUGAUGCACGAAAGCGUGGGUAUCAAACAGGAUUAGAUACCCUGGUAGUC
Molecule: ribosomal RNA, 442 nt
Filed under: uncultured bacterium
Lineage: Bacteria
Description: partial 16S ribosomal RNA
Rfam family: Bacterial small subunit ribosomal RNA
Source: RNAcentral